RNAcentral lists this ribosomal RNA (253 nucleotides) under uncultured bacterium. Its description in RNAcentral is "partial 16S ribosomal RNA". It matches the Rfam family "Bacterial small subunit ribosomal RNA", at positions 524 to 776 of the family's 1533-position model. The record is from RNAcentral.
UACGGGGGGAGCAAGCGUUGUUCGGAAUUACUGGGCGUAAAGGGCUCGUAGGUGGCCAACUAAGUCAGACGUGAAAUCCCUCGGCUUAACCGGGGAACUGCGUCUGAUACUGGAUGGCUUGAGUUUGGGAGAGGGACGCGGAAUUCCAGGUGUAGCGGUGAAAUGCGUAGAUAUCUGGAGGAACACCGGUGGCGAAGGCGGCGUCCUGGACCAAUACUGACACUGAUGAGCGAAAGCCAGGGGAGCAAACAGG